RNAcentral lists this unclassified non-coding RNA (499 nucleotides) under Hevea brasiliensis (rubber tree). Lineage: Eukaryota; Viridiplantae; Streptophyta; Magnoliopsida; Malpighiales; Euphorbiaceae. The record is from RNAcentral.
GUGCCAUAACUGAAUGACUUCCUAAUAGUAGAAUCCUCCUUGAUCUCAUCCGAUUCCCCUUCCUCAAAAUCAUCAAUUGAGUCUGAGUCAAAUGGAUAGUUAUACUCUCCUUCAUCACUUCUGGCAGAGCACCUGCCUUCACUUCCCUCCUCCUCACGGCAAGCCUUUUUUGCUCUCCUGGUGGAAACAUACUCUGUAAAAAUCUUCACCUUUCUGAGACCAGCUUUUAUUGCAGAUAGCUCAUCCUUUUCAGUUGAGACGGUUUCUCCUGAUUGAGGUGGAGAUGAAACAGGAACUAUCGCUCUCUGCAAUGGCUCUGUGGCUUCUGGAACUGUUCUCAAUUCCAAUAAGCUAAGUGAUAUAAGGAGCAAGGGCCGAGGCUCAGCUGCACCAGCGGGAAGCAAAAGGGGUAGGCUUAAUUCCAACUCUUUCUGUUCAGCAGUAGAAGCAUAUUCAGCAAGGUUCAGCAUCGCAGUUCCAACAGCAGGAACCUUGUUCU